CCUACGGGUGGCAGCAGUGAGGAAUAUUGGUCAAUGGGCGGAAUCCUGAACCAGCCAUGCCGCGUGCAGGACGACGGCUCUACGAGUUGUAAACUGCUUUUGUACCGGGGUAAAAUGCCUUACGUGUAGGUUUUUGAAUGUACGGUACGAAUAAGGAUCGGCUAACUCCGUGCCAGCAGCCGCGGUAAUACGGAGGAUCCGAGCGUUAUCCGGAUUCAUUGGGUUUAAAGGGAGCGUAGGUGGUUUUAUAAGUUAGUUGUGAAAUUUCGAGGCUCAACAGCGAGGUUGCCAUUGAUACUGGCGGACUAGAGUACAGAUGCAGCAGGCGGAAUGCGUAGUGUAGCGGUGAAAUGCAUAGAUAUCACGCAGAACACCGAUUGCGAAGGCAGCUUGCUAGGCCGGAACUGACACUGAUGCACGAAAGUGUGGGGAUCGAACAGGAUUAGAUACCCCGGUAGUC
Molecule: ribosomal RNA, 460 nt
Filed under: uncultured bacterium
Lineage: Bacteria
Description: partial 16S ribosomal RNA
Rfam family: Bacterial small subunit ribosomal RNA
Source: RNAcentral